RNAcentral lists this long non-coding RNA (306 nucleotides) under Gallus gallus (chicken). Lineage: Eukaryota; Metazoa; Chordata; Aves; Galliformes; Phasianidae. The record is from RNAcentral.
UGGGGCGGUGGUUGCUGGCGGGUUGCACCGUUGUCGGAGAAGUCUCAUGCCGGGACAUCGGAAGGGGUGGCUCUGCGGACGCGGGUCCUGCGUACUGCGUCCCAGCCUCAUACACGGUGGCAGUGGGUGGGUCGUGCUCUGGGGGCUCUUCUGCUGCUCACCACUCCUCCCAGGCCGCGGGUGACCCGAGCAGCCCGGUUAGCGUCCCUGCAGCCGCACGGCUGGAGCGGGUCGGGCAUCCGCGCCGUCGAGCAGCGCCGUCCGCUGCCCCGUGCCCACGGCCGCCGCCCGUGCGCUGCCCCCGGG